AGCGAACGCUGGCGGUAGGCCUAACACAUGCAAGUCGAACGGCAGCACAGUAAGAGCUUGCUCUUCCGGGUUGCCAGUCGGGGACGGAUGAGGAAUACAUCGGAAUCUACUUUUUCGUGGGGGAUCACGUAGGGGAACUUACGCUCAUACCGCAUACGCCCUACGGGUGAAAGCAGGGGAUCUUCGGACCUUGCGCGAUUGAAUGAGCCGCGGUCGAAUUAGCUGGUUGGCGGGGUACAGGCCCACUCAGGCGACGAUCCGUAGCUGGUGUGAGAGGCUGGUCAGCCACACUGGAACUGAGACACGGUCCAGACUCCUAAGGGAGGCAGCAGUGGGGAAUAUUGGACAAUGGGCGCAAGCCUGAUCCAGCCAUACCGCGUGGGUGAAGAAGGCCUUCGGGUUGUAAAGCCCGUUUGUUGGGAAAGAAAAGCAGCAGGUUAAUACCCCGCUGUUCUGACGGUACUCAAAGAAUAAGCACCGGCUAACUUCGUG
This 492-nucleotide ribosomal RNA is filed under the name uncultured bacterium. RNAcentral's name for it is "partial 16S ribosomal RNA". It matches the Rfam family "Bacterial small subunit ribosomal RNA", at positions 29 to 507 of the family's 1533-position model. The record is from RNAcentral.